AUUCCAGCUCCAAUAGCGUAUAUUAAAGUUGUUGCAGUUAAAAAGCUCGUAGUUGGAUCUCAGGGUGAGCUCAGUUGGUCGGCCUAAUUGGUCAGAACUGGCUGACUCUCCCUUGUUUCUGAAUCCCGGUCGGAGUUAAUUCUUCGUUCGUGGACCUCGGAUCGUUUACCUUGAAAAAAUUAGAGUGUUCAAAGCGGGCGUUUGCUUGAAUACAUUAGCAUGGAAUAAUGGAAUAGGACCCUGGUUCUAUUUUGUUGGUUUUGAGGACCAGAGUAAUGAUUAAUAGGGAUAGUUGGGGGCAUUCAUAUUUAAUUGUCAGAGGUGAAAUUCUUGGAUUUAUGAAAGAUGAACUUCUGCGAAAGCAUUUGCCAAGGAUGUUUUCAUUG
This 386-nucleotide ribosomal RNA is filed under the name Telonemia sp. RNAcentral describes it as "partial small subunit ribosomal RNA". It matches the Rfam family "Eukaryotic small subunit ribosomal RNA", at positions 582 to 975 of the family's 1831-position model. The record is from RNAcentral. Lineage: Eukaryota; Telonemia.